CCUACGGGUGGCAGCAGUGGGGGAUAUUGCACAAUGGGGGAAACCCUGAUGCAGCGACGCCGCGUGGGUGAAGAAGCGCCUCGGCGCGUAAAGCUCUGUCAGCAGGGAAGAAAAUGACGGUACCUGUAGAAGAAGCUCCGGCUAACUACGUGCCAGCAGCCGCGGCACUAUGUAGGGGGCAAGCGUUAUCCGGAUUUACUGGGGGUAAAGGGGGCGUAGGCGGCGAUGCAAGCCAGGAGUGAAAGCCCGGGGCCCAACCCCGGGACUGCUCUUGAAACUGCGUGGCUAGAGUGCAGGAGGGGCAGGCGGAAUGCCUGGUGUAGCGGUGAAAUGCGUAGAUAUCAGGAGGAACACCGGUGGCGAAGGCGGCCUGCUGGACUGCAACUGACGUUGAGGCCCGAAAGCGUGGGGAGCAAACAGGAUUAGAUACCCCAGUAGUC
Molecule: ribosomal RNA, 440 nt
Filed under: uncultured bacterium
Lineage: Bacteria
Description: partial 16S ribosomal RNA
Rfam family: Bacterial small subunit ribosomal RNA
Source: RNAcentral